This 253-nucleotide ribosomal RNA is filed under the name uncultured bacterium. RNAcentral's name for it is "partial 16S ribosomal RNA". It matches the Rfam family "Bacterial small subunit ribosomal RNA", at positions 524 to 776 of the family's 1533-position model. The record is from RNAcentral.
UACGUAGGGUGCGAGCGUUAAUCGGAAUUACUGGGCGUAAAGCGUGCGCAGGCGGUUUUGUAAGCCAGAUGUGAAAUCCCCGGGCUCAACCUGGGAAUGGCAUUUGGGACUGCAAGGCUGGAGUACGGCAGAGGAGACUGGAAUUCCUGGUGUAGCAGUGAAAUGCGUAGAUAUCAGGAGGAAUACCGAUGGCGAAGGCAGGUCUCUGGGACGGUAUUGACGCUAAGGCGCGAAAGCGUGGGGAGCAAACAGG